GUGGAUGAUUUCGCUCGGUGCUGUAUGUCGAGCGAAUGGAUUAAUGAGCUUGCUCUUAUGAAGUUAGCGGCGGACGGGUGAGUAACACGUGGGUAACCUGCCCAUAAGACUGGGAUAACUCCGGGAAACCGGGGCUAAUACCGGAUAAUAUUUUGAACUGCAUGGUUCGAAAUUGAAAGGCGGCUUCGGCUGUCACUUAUGGAUGGACCCGCGUCGCAUUAGCUAGUUGGUGAGGUAACGGCUCACCAAGGCAACGAUGCGUAGCCGACCUGAGAGGGUGAUCGGCCACACUGGGACUGAGACACGGCCCAGACUCCUACGGGAGGCAGCAGUAGGGAAUCUUCCGCAAUGGACGAAAGUCUGACGGAGCAACGCCGCGUGAGUGAUGAAGGCUUUCGCGUCGUACAACUCUGUUGUUAGGGAAGAACAAGUGCUACUUGAAUAAGCUGGCACCUUGACGGUACCUCACCUGAAAGCCACUGCUAACUACAUGCCAGCAGCCGCGGUAAUACUUAGGUGUGCAUGCGAUAUCCGCAAUUAUUGCGCGUACAGCGCGCGCACGCUGGUUUCUCAUGUCUGAUGUCGAGACCUCCCACGGCCUCAUCCGCGGAGGGGUCAUUCGUAAACGCGGGUAGACUUCGAGUACUAGAGGAGCGAAAGUCGCACUUCCAUGUGUAGCCGUAGACAUUGCGUAGAGAUGAUCGACGGAGCACCUCUGAGUCGAGUCUGACUUCCUAGCUGUCACCUGCAACACUGAGCAGUCGAAGCCUGAGAGCCAACUGCACUCAGAGGCCUCGUCAGUCAUCGCUGCAAUGUAGCGGUCAUGUUAAUGGCGCUCGCCCCUCAGGCUGAGGUCACGAUCCAGCAUCCCCCAGGUACGGCUGCAGUCGACUCGAUGAUGACCGGUCGCAAUCGUGACUGCGUAAGUCCUAGACACCCUGA
RNAcentral lists this ribosomal RNA (942 nucleotides) under Bacillus cereus. Its description in RNAcentral is "bacterial SSU rRNA". The stretch from base 3 to 533 matches the Rfam family "Bacterial small subunit ribosomal RNA", at positions 27 to 546 of the family's 1533-position model. Lineage: Bacteria; Bacillati; Bacillota; Bacilli; Caryophanales; Bacillaceae. The record is from RNAcentral.